Molecule: ribosomal RNA, 1043 nt
Filed under: Bacillus sp. (in: firmicutes)
Lineage: Bacteria; Bacillati; Bacillota; Bacilli; Caryophanales; Bacillaceae
Description: bacterial SSU rRNA
Rfam family: Bacterial small subunit ribosomal RNA
Source: RNAcentral
UCACUUAUAAUUGAGGCUGCAGCGGAGUCUUCGGCGGGGGGCGGCGGACGGGUGAGUAACACGUGGGCAACCUGCCUGUAAGACUGGGAUAACUCCGGGAAACCGGAGCUAAUACCGGAUACUAUGUCAAACCGCAUGGUUUGACAUUCAAAGACGGUUUCGGCUGUCACUUACAGAUGGGCCCGCGGCGCAUUAGCUAGUUGGUGAGGUAACGGCUCACCAAGGCGACGAUGCGUAGCCGACCUGAGAGGGUGAUCGGCCACACUGGGACUGAGACACGGCCCAGACUCCUACGGGAGGCAGCAGUAGGGAAUCUUCCGCAAUGGACGAAAGUCUGACGGAGCAACGCCGCGUGAGUGAUGAAGGUUUUCGGAUCGUAAAACUCUGUUGUCAGGGAAGAACAAGUGCCGGAGUAACUGCCGGCGCCUUGACGGUACCUGACCAGAAAGCCACGGCUAACUACGUGCCAGCAGCCGCGGUAAUACGUAGGUGGCAAGCGUUGUCCGGAAUUAUUGGGCGUAAAGCGCGCGCAGGCGGUUUCUUAAGUCUGAUGUGAAAGCCCCCGGCUCAACCGGGGAGGGUCAUUGGAAACUGGGAAACUUGAGUGCAGAAGAGGAGAGUGGAAUUCCACGUGUAGCGGUGAAAUGCGUAGAGAUGUGGAGGAACACCAGUGGCGAAGGCGACUCUCUGGUCUGUAACUGACGCUGAGGCGCGAAAGCGUGGGGAGCGAACAGGAUUAGAUACCCUGGUAGUCCACGCCGUAAACGAUGAGUGCUAAGUGUUAGAGGGUUUCCGCCCUUUAGUGCUGCAGCUAACGCAUUAAGCACUCCGCCUGGGAGUACGGUCGCAAGACUGAAACUCAAAGGAAUUGACGGGGGCCCGCACAAGCGGUGGAGCAUGUGGUUUAAUUCGAAGCAACGCGAAGAACCUUACCAGGUCUUGACAUCCUUUGCCACUUCUAGAGAUAGAGUUCCCCUUCGGGGGACAAAGUGACAGGUGUGCAUGGUUGUCGUCAGCUCGUGUCGUGAGAUGUUGGGUUUAAG